This is a long non-coding RNA of Dermacentor andersoni, 2010 nucleotides long. RefSeq lists it as uncharacterized. The record is from RefSeq and is a predicted model, not a curated record. Lineage: Eukaryota; Metazoa; Arthropoda; Arachnida; Ixodida; Ixodidae.
CCACUGCAUUAUAUUGCUGCCAAUGUGACUAAUUUAGAACUGGGAAUGCCCUUUGCAACACACAGUCAGUAAACGUCCUUGCUGCAUGUUCCAUCUUUGGCGGCAAAAUUGCAGCAACCUGCUCGGGACUGCCUGUGAGCUAUUCUCGGCUAAUGCUGCCAUGUCGCUGUUUAGAUCUGUCAGCAAAAUUUCAACAACAAUUUGUUCCUCUUGAGGGAACAGGCGCUCCCUUGUUGUGGAGAGUUGCCCAGAAACCACGCUGGGUAAGAGAGUUCAUGCCCACCACGAGGCAAGGACUUCUGUAGUAGCAGAUUUUUACACCUGCGCUACCAAGGGGACAGCAGGAAAAACUAGGUGGCAGUUAAGAGAAAUGGGGAGUGCGAUACUAUGGGGUAGCUUAACCCCGUAACUUGUGGAACAAGUUUGUGUGUACGCAGCCUUACAGCCUGCUGGUGUUGAACAAAGGAAUUGUGCCUGUAGUGGCCAGAUGGGUUGGCUUUGUGCUCUCUUGUUAAAGGCAUUGGAUUAUCCUUCUAAGUAUAUGAAAUAAUGAAUACAAGAUAGUGUGAAAUGUAUUUAAAUUACAUUGAAAAUGCUCCUCUCUUAUGGUAUCUCCAAAAGAUACUCUGAAAAGUACUUAAGAUACGUACAAGCCUGGGCUUAUGAGAGAAGGUGACUAAUGAAAUGAAAAACACUGCAGACCAUCGACGAGCAUGUGGCUUAAACCGUUCUGCUACCAUGUGCAGGUGCUUGCUCAUGGCCUGGCCGGAUCAACGAUACCAUAACUACCGCAGCCUGACCAGUCUUCAAGAAAUGCAAUCGACCAUCCUUAUCUACCAAACUUUGCCACGUGCACUUGGACCACAACUACGACACCAAUGCCACGUCACUGCUUUCAUGACGCCAAUCCUUUGCUGCUUUGGGACACGUCACUUGAGGCACCAUCUAUUCUUCACAUGACGUUGAUGCAUCGGUUUAUAAGGGAACAGCUCCAGACCUACACUUGCAGGGGGCAUGGCGGACCAUCGACGAGCACGUGACUUAAACCAUUCUGCUACCUUGUGCAGGAGCACCACGCAGAUGCAUGACUCCUCGCCAGCAGCACAGCACACAUCGCAGGGGACGCUUUCCCACCAGACGCGCUACGGUGCAGCGAUCACGUCAGAGGCGUCCCGCAUCGGACGCUCCACCUAGGAAUCUAGGUGAGCGGAAAGAGGAGCCGCGUCGCCUAAACACAAGGGUUCGAGUGACGCACACUGGAAGUUGGAAGGGGAGAGAGCGAGAAAACUUAUUAAAUGCAAGGGUAUUGGAGCAUCCUCGCACUGGUCCCCGCACGGCCCCAAUGCGCUCAAACAAGACGAAGGGGAGAAGCGGGCGAGUGGUGCGCCACCUGUCGGGGCAGAGCCGUACAUUGCGAGGAGAGGGUCUUCUGUGUUUGCCGCAAGAUGGCUCUGCGUGUGCGCCAAGCGCAGAAGAAAUGUAGUGGAAACGUACUUCGCUACUCGUUUAACUGUGACUUCUGUAAUUUACAUGCUCAUAAUUACCUAUAUACACCGCAGUAUAACUUUCUACGGCACGUUUCUAAGGAAACACCGCAUUCACUAGAGGCACUUUUGUCCCGCUUUGAACCAACUAACUCAUGGCUGAGUGGUAGCGUCUCCGUCUCACACUCCGGAGACCCUGGUUCGAUUCCCACCCUGCCCAUCUUGCAAGUUGUUUUUAUUUAUGAAUUGCCGUCCGCGAUUUUUCGCUCAUGGGCAACACCGCCGACACCGGCUUUUCUGCGACACGAGCUCCUUAACGCUGUCGCGUUAAUAAUUAUCAUGUUUGCGCAUGAGCAGAAAUUAUUGAAGUCUCAGCGUUCCCUUCUUCCUGCAAGUGGUGGCUGUUAAAUCCAAUGUUCUCUUCUAUUUCUUUCUUUUCGUUUAAUAACUGCAGGCAGAGUGCGAAGUAGAGGGUAUUGGUAACACACGGUGCCCAAAAAUAAAACAUCGUUCUGUGCUAGCGCUA